CACACUCACAAACACAGUCAGACACACACAGAGUCAGACACAAACACACACACAGUCAGACACAUACACAGACACAAACACAGUCAGACAAACACACACACACACACACACACACACUCACAAACACAGUCAGAUACACACAGAGUCAGACACAAACACACACACAGUCAGACACAUACACAAACAGACACACUCACAAACACAG
This is a non-coding RNA of Pelobates cultripes (western spadefoot toad), 205 nucleotides long. NCBI's taxonomy places the organism in Eukaryota, Metazoa, Chordata, Amphibia, Anura, Pelobatidae. The record is from the annotation of a GenBank genome assembly.